This 496-nucleotide ribosomal RNA is filed under the name uncultured bacterium. RNAcentral describes it as "partial 16S ribosomal RNA". It matches the Rfam family "Bacterial small subunit ribosomal RNA", at positions 28 to 506 of the family's 1533-position model. The record is from RNAcentral.
GAUGAACGCUGGCGGCGUGCCUAAUACAUGCAAGUCGAGCGAACAGACGAGGAGCUUGCUCCUCUGACGUUAGCGGCGGACGGGUGAGUAACACGUGGAUAACCUACCUAUAAGACUGGGAUAACUUCGGGAAACCGGAGCUAAUACCGGAUAAUAUAUUGAACCGCAUGGUUCAAUAGUGAAAGACGGUUUUGCUGUCACUUAUAGAUGGAUCCGCGCCGCAUUAGCUAGUUGGUAAGGUAACGGCUUACCAAGGCAACGAUGCGUAGCCGACCUGAGAGGACGGGGGGCCACCAUGAAGCAAACCCAGGAUACGGACGCAAGCGGGAGGCAGCAGUGGGGAUUAAUCCAUAAGUGUCGAAAGAUGGAAAGACCAUGUUCGAGUGAAAGAAGAAGUUUUUAAGAAAGUAAACCGCUGUUAUUAGGAAAGAAAAAAAAUGUAAGGAAUAACGCACUUCGAGAAGGCGCCUAAGAGGAGAGCGAGGACUCACCUCAU